UCAUGGUGGAAGGCAAAGGAGAAGCAAAGACACGUCUUACAUGGCAGCAGGUCUAAGUUGAUCAGCUGAUGGAGAGAAAACGCAACACACCCUUAAUAGGGGGCUGGCAAUGGAGCAUGGAACUGUCAGCCACGGCAGUGCUGAAAUAGGGAGGACUGAAGGUAGCAGAAUAUUGGCGUGUAGCGCUACUCAAAACAUAGAAAGCAGAAAUAAAUCAAUUCUGCCUGGAGGACCUCCUCCAUCUCAACACCCAGUGGUUUUGACAGAAUUGAUAUAGAAAUAGAAACUUCAAGAUCCACAUCUGUGCUUUUCCAUCCCUGCCCUGGUGCUGGAAUGCCAACCUGUACAGACUGCAUAGUUCCUCUUGCUCUCCAGCUUCUAGAUGGAUUCAACCACUGGGAGGCAUCAGCAGAAGUCAGAGAAGAGGGUAAAAUGCAGUCCAGGUGUUUCGUCUGCUGGCUCUUUCCCUGCCAAGUCACCGUGGGUUCAAGGAGUACACGUGCAAUCUACAUGGGCAAAUCACAUAUCACAGGGGCUUGAUGUACAGAUAAUUUUGUCACCCAGGUAAUAAGUAUAGAACCCAAUAGAUGGUUUUUGAAUCCUCAUGCUCCGCCGACCUUCCACGCUCAAGAUGGCCCUGGUGUCUAUCAUUCUUUACUUUGUGGUCGUGUGUGUACUCAGUGUUUAGGCACUUAUAAAUGAGAACACAACAUGUUUGGUUUUCUGUUCUUGUGUUAA
Molecule: long non-coding RNA, 738 nt
Organism: Chlorocebus sabaeus (green monkey)
Lineage: Eukaryota; Metazoa; Chordata; Mammalia; Primates; Cercopithecidae
Source: RefSeq, a predicted model, not a curated record